RNAcentral lists this ribosomal RNA (482 nucleotides) under uncultured bacterium. RNAcentral's name for it is "partial 16S ribosomal RNA". It matches the Rfam family "Bacterial small subunit ribosomal RNA", at positions 28 to 507 of the family's 1533-position model. The record is from RNAcentral.
GACGAACGCUGGCGGCGUGCUUAACACAUGCAAGUCGAACGAUGAAGAAGAGAAACGCGAACUUCGGUUCAAAUUUCACUUCGGAUUAGUGGCAGACGGGUGAGUAACGCGUGAGCAACCUACCUCUUACAAAGGGAUAGCCUCGGGAAACCGUGAUUAAUACCAUAUGACACAUUCAUAAGGCAUCUUAAGAAUGUUAAAGCUACGGCGGUAAGAGAUGGGCUCGCGUCCCAUUAGCUAGUUGGUGAGGUAACGGCCCACCAAGGCGACGAUGGGUAACCGGCCUGAGAGGGUGAACGGUCACAUUGGCACUGAGACACGGUCCAAACUCCUACGGGAGGCAGCAGUGGGGAAUAUUGCACAAUGGAGGGAACUCUGAUGCAGCGACGCCGCGUGAGCGAUGAAGGAAUUCGUUUCGUAAAGCUCUGUUCUAUGGGAAGAAAAGGACUGUACCAUAGGAGAAAGCCCCGGCUAAAUACGUG